UGGGGUAUAUUGCACAAUGGGGGAAACCCUGAUGCAGCGACGCCGCGUGAACGAAGAAGGUAUUCGUAUCGUAAAGUUCUGUCCUAUGGGAAGAUAAUGACAGUACCAUAGAAGAAAGCUCCGGCUAAAUACGUGCCAGCAGCCGCGGUAAUACGUAUGGAGCGAGCGUUGUCCGGAAUUAUUGGGCGUAAAGGGUACGCAGGCGGUUUAAUAAGUCGAAUGUUAAAGAUCGGGGCUCAACCCCGUAAAGCAUUGGAAACUGAUAAACUUGAGUAGUGGAGAGGAAAGUGUAAUUCCUAGUGUAGUGGUGAAAUACGUAGAUAUUAGGAGGAAUACCAGUAGCGAAGGCGACUUUCUGGACACAAACUGACGCUGAGGUACGAAAGCGUGGGGAGCAAACAGG
This 403-nucleotide ribosomal RNA is filed under the name bacterium. RNAcentral describes it as "partial 16S ribosomal RNA". It matches the Rfam family "Bacterial small subunit ribosomal RNA", at positions 355 to 776 of the family's 1533-position model. The record is from RNAcentral.